GGUGAACGCUGGCGGUAGGCCUAACACAUGCAAGUCGAACGGCAGCACAGUAAGAGCUUGCUCUUACGGGUGGCGAGUGGCGGACGGGUGAGGAAUACAUCGGAAUCUACUUUUUCGUGGGGGAUAACGUAGGGAAACUUACGCUAAUACCGCAUACGACCUACGGUUGAAAGCAGGGGAUCUUCGGACCUUGCGCGAUUGAAUGAGCCGAUGUCGGAUUAGCUAGUUGGCGGGGUAAAGGCCCACCAAGGCGACGAUCCGUAGCUGGUCUGAGAGGAUGAUCAGCCACACUGGAACUGAGACACGGUCCAGACUCCUACGGGAGGCAGCAGUGGGGAAUAUUGGACAAUGGGCGCAAGCCUGAUCCAGCCAUACCGCGUGGGUGAAGAAGGCCUUCGGGUUGUAAAGCCCUUUUGUUGGGAAAGAAAAGCAGCAGGUUAAUACCCCGCUGUUCUGACGGUACCCAAAGAAUAAGCACCGGCUAACUUCGUG
This 492-nucleotide ribosomal RNA is filed under the name uncultured bacterium. Its description in RNAcentral is "partial 16S ribosomal RNA". It matches the Rfam family "Bacterial small subunit ribosomal RNA", at positions 28 to 507 of the family's 1533-position model. The record is from RNAcentral.